RNAcentral lists this ribosomal RNA (465 nucleotides) under uncultured Leuconostoc sp. Its description in RNAcentral is "bacterial SSU rRNA". It matches the Rfam family "Bacterial small subunit ribosomal RNA", at positions 338 to 795 of the family's 1533-position model. The record is from RNAcentral. Lineage: Bacteria; Bacillati; Bacillota; Bacilli; Lactobacillales; Lactobacillaceae.
CCUACGGGCGGCUGCAGUAGGGAAUCUUCCACAAUGGGCGAAAGCCUGAUGGAGCAACGCCGCGUGUGUGAUGAAGGCUUUCGGGUCGUAAAGCACUGUUGUAUGGGAAGAACAGCUAGAAUAGGAAAUGAUUUUAGUUUGACGGUACCAUACCAGAAAGGGACGGCUAAAUACGUGCCAGCAGCCGCGGUAAUACGUAUGUCGCGAGAGUUAUACGGAUUUGUUGGGCGUACAGCGAGCGCAGAAGGUUUAGUAAGUCGGAUGUGAAAGACCCGAGCUCAACUCCGGAAUGGCAUUGGAAACUGGUUAACUGGAGUUCAGUAGAAGUAAGUGGAACUCCAUGUGUAGCGGUGUAAUGCGUAGAUAUAUGGAAGAACACCCGUGGCGAAGGCGGCUUACUGGACUGCAACUGACGUUGAGGCUCGAAAGUGUGGGUAGCAAACAGGAUUAGAUACCCGAGUAGUC